Molecule: ribosomal RNA, 2753 nt
Filed under: Staphylococcus aureus M0027
Lineage: Bacteria; Bacillati; Bacillota; Bacilli; Caryophanales; Staphylococcaceae
Also listed under: 7 other names
Description: bacterial LSU rRNA
Rfam family: Bacterial large subunit ribosomal RNA
Source: RNAcentral
UUAAGUUAUUAAGGGCGCACGGUGGAUGCCUUGGCACUAGAAGCCGAUGAAGGACGUUACUAACGACGAUAUGCUUUGGGGAGCUGUAAGUAAGCUUUGAUCCAGAGAUUUCCGAAUGGGGAAACCCAGCAUGAGUUAUGUCAUGUUAUCGAUAUGUGAAUACAUAGCAUAUCAGAAGGCACACCCGGAGAACUGAAACAUCUUAGUACCCGGAGGAAGAGAAAGAAAAUUCGAUUCCCUUAGUAGCGGCGAGCGAAACGGGAAGAGCCCAAACCAACAAGCUUGCUUGUUGGGGUUGUAGGACACUCUAUACGGAGUUACAAAGGACGACAUUAGACGAAUCAUCUGGAAAGAUGAAUCAAAGAAGGUAAUAAUCCUGUAGUCGAAAAUGUUGUCUCUCUUGAGUGGAUCCUGAGUACGACGGAGCACGUGAAAUUCCGUCGGAAUCUGGGAGGACCAUCUCCUAAGGCUAAAUACUCUCUAGUGACCGAUAGUGAACCAGUACCGUGAGGGAAAGGUGAAAAGCACCCCGGAAGGGGAGUGAAAUAGAACCUGAAACCGUGUGCUUACAAGUAGUCAGAGCCCGUUAAUGGGUGAUGGCGUGCCUUUUGUAGAAUGAACCGGCGAGUUACGAUUUGAUGCAAGGUUAAGCAGUAAAUGUGGAGCCGUAGCGAAAGCGAGUCUGAAUAGGGCGUUUAGUAUUUGGUCGUAGACCCGAAACCAGGUGAUCUACCCUUGGUCAGGUUGAAGUUCAGGUAACACUGAAUGGAGGACCGAACCGACUUACGUUGAAAAGUGAGCGGAUGAACUGAGGGUAGCGGAGAAAUUCCAAUCGAACCUGGAGAUAGCUGGUUCUCUCCGAAAUAGCUUUAGGGCUAGCCUCAAGUGAUGAUUAUUGGAGGUAGAGCACUGUUUGGACGAGGGGCCCCUCUCGGGUUACCGAAUUCAGACAAACUCCGAAUGCCAAUUAAUUUAACUUGGGAGUCAGAACAUGGGUGAUAAGGUCCGUGUUCGAAAGGGAAACAGCCCAGACCACCAGCUAAGGUCCCAAAAUAUAUGUUAAGUGGAAAAGGAUGUGGCGUUGCCCAGACAACUAGGAUGUUGGCUUAGAAGCAGCCAUCAUUUAAAGAGUGCGUAAUAGCUCACUAGUCGAGUGACACUGCGCCGAAAAUGUACCGGGGCUAAACAUAUUACCGAAGCUGUGGAUUGUCCUUUGGACAAUGGUAGGAGAGCGUUCUAAGGGCGUUGAAGCAUGAUCGUAAGGACAUGUGGAGCGCUUAGAAGUGAGAAUGCCGGUGUGAGUAGCGAAAGACGGGUGAGAAUCCCGUCCACCGAUUGACUAAGGUUUCCAGAGGAAGGCUCGUCCGCUCUGGGUUAGUCGGGUCCUAAGCUGAGGCCGACAGGCGUAGGCGAUGGAUAACAGGUUGAUAUUCCUGUACCACCUAUAAUCGUUUUAAUCGAUGGGGGGACGCAGUAGGAUAGGCGAAGCGUGCGAUUGGAUUGCACGUCUAAGCAGUAAGGCUGAGUAUUAGGCAAAUCCGGUACUCGUUAAGGCUGAGCUGUGAUGGGGAGAAGACAUUGUGUCUUCGAGUCGUUGAUUUCACACUGCCGAGAAAAGCCUCUAGAUAGAAAAUAGGUGCCCGUACCGCAAACCGACACAGGUAGUCAAGAUGAGAAUUCUAAGGUGAGCGAGCGAACUCUCGUUAAGGAACUCGGCAAAAUGACCCCGUAACUUCGGGAGAAGGGGUGCUCUUUAGGGUUAACGCCCAGAAGAGCCGCAGUGAAUAGGCCCAAGCGACUGUUUAUCAAAAACACAGGUCUCUGCUAAACCGUAAGGUGAUGUAUAGGGGCUGACGCCUGCCCGGUGCUGGAAGGUUAAGAGGAGUGGUUAGCUUCUGCGAAGCUACGAAUCGAAGCCCCAGUAAACGGCGGCCGUAACUAUAACGGUCCUAAGGUAGCGAAAUUCCUUGUCGGGUAAGUUCCGACCCGCACGAAAGGCGUAACGAUUUGGGCACUGUCUCAACGAGAGACUCGGUGAAAUCAUAGUACCUGUGAAGAUGCAGGUUACCCGCGACAGGACGGAAAGACCCCGUGGAGCUUUACUGUAGCCUGAUAUUGAAAUUCGGCACAGCUUGUACAGGAUAGGUAGGAGCCUUUGAAACGUGAGCGCUAGCUUACGUGGAGGCGCUGGUGGGAUACUACCCUAGCUGUGUUGGCUUUCUAACCCGCACCACUUAUCGUGGUGGGAGACAGUGUCAGGCGGGCAGUUUGACUGGGGCGGUCGCCUCCUAAAAGGUAACGGAGGCGCUCAAAGGUUCCCUCAGAAUGGUUGGAAAUCAUUCAUAGAGUGUAAAGGCAUAAGGGAGCUUGACUGCGAGACCUACAAGUCGAGCAGGGUCGAAAGACGGACUUAGUGAUCCGGUGGUUCCGCAUGGAAGGGCCAUCGCUCAACGGAUAAAAGCUACCCCGGGGAUAACAGGCUUAUCUCCCCCAAGAGUUCACAUCGACGGGGAGGUUUGGCACCUCGAUGUCGGCUCAUCGCAUCCUGGGGCUGUAGUCGGUCCCAAGGGUUGGGCUGUUCGCCCAUUAAAGCGGUACGCGAGCUGGGUUCAGAACGUCGUGAGACAGUUCGGUCCCUAUCCGUCGUGGGCGUAGGAAAUUUGAGAGGAGCUGUCCUUAGUACGAGAGGACCGGGAUGGACAUACCUCUGGUGUACCAGUUGUCGUGCCAACGGCAUAGCUGGGUAGCUAUGU